RNAcentral lists this long non-coding RNA (992 nucleotides) under Pongo abelii (Sumatran orangutan). Its description in RNAcentral is "lincRNA". Lineage: Eukaryota; Metazoa; Chordata; Mammalia; Primates; Hominidae. The record is from RNAcentral.
UUUCAGGUAAAAAUGAAAAUCUCAACCGUGUCAUUAUUCAUGCCAAGCCUUAAACCUGGAUCAAGCUUUGCCAUCUAAUGUCGCUCAUCAGAGACAAUUGUAAAUCCUUCAUCUACCUUAUCUUAUCUAAUACUCACAAAAACAAAGGGUGAUAUGGCAGAGACAGUUACAGUGCUCACCAAUGACUGCAAAAUGUCCACAUCUCCCAGCCUCACUUGCAGAUAGAUUGGGACCAUGGGACUAGUUCCCACCAAAGAACUAAGAGUAGAAAUAGCAUGUGUCUGGGGCCAAAGAAGUUAAAAGCUGACAUGCCUCGCCAUCCCUCUUUUCUCCUGCAAUAAUUAUCUUGGCUUGGAAGCCACAAGCCACAAGAGAAGGUGAGCUGACAGAUCCACACUGGAAUCUACAAGAGUGAAAAAUAUAAUUUCAUUGUGUUAAACCACUAAGAUUUCAGAAUUUGUCUGUUAAAACAGCAUAGCCUAUCCUGUCCUGACAAACAUAGAUAAUAUUUGGAAUAUGUAAUAACUAGUACAGAACAGGCACUAACCUAUUAGAAUGAAUGCAAUGACCAAUGAAUGAAUGUCAUCGGCUGUAAAUGACUGAUAUGGCCAUAUAAGUCUAUACCAGUUGAACAGCGAUGAAAACAACUCUACAAAUUUAUCCCAGUUUUAUAAUUGAUGAAACAGAAGCACUGAGAGCUUGCCUAAGACAAUGACUUGUAAAUGGCAGAGCAGGAAUUCAAAUCAGCUGUUUGAUACAUAGACCAUUCUCUUUCUAUCUCAACAUUCUGCUUGCUACUUGUUGAAUGAUGCCUAAAUUACCCGAACAAUUCAUCAAGACUGCAGUAGAAGUGUCCAAAUACUUAGUUAUUUAUUUAAACCAUACGGCAUGGUCCAACAGUACAUGUUUAUUCUUGUUGAAUUUUCUAUAAAUUGAACUCAUUCUUGCCUCUGUAUAGGAUGUCACUAUUAUAUUUUGCUUUUCCUUUCAAA